GCAAUUCAAAGCUUUUCAUAAACAAUAUAUACAAGACUGAAGGAGAAGAAGAUAAAAAUAACAAGAUAAUAAAGAGAGAGAGAGAUAGGAGAUCAUGGGGUUUUUUACAUAUAUGGAUCCCAAGUUAAAGCAUCUAAAAUUUAGAAGAUUCAGGGAAAGAAACAGAGGAUUUUACACAUGAUUACAUGUAUUUGAAAGUAACUGCUGGAAAUGGCAAAGUAAACCUGUCAUGAGACAGCCUGCAAAAAGAGCUAAUACCCUCCCCUACAACAAUUCCCCCCAAUUACUCAUGAGUUGGCUACUCUACUCAGAUUUGUGGGUACUGGCUGGCUUGCCACCAUUGCCUCCAUUUUCCUUACUCUUUCUUCCUGUAAAUGAAAAAUUUUUCACGCCCUCAACAAUAUCUUCAUAUAUCUUGUCUUUUAUUUGACCUCUCUUUGGUGGAAGGCUUGCAUUUCCUUUCUUCUCUGUCUUGUUGGUUCUGCUGUCCAUCCUGAUAUGGGUGAAGCUGUGAAAGACUGGAUAUAGUAUCAGGAGGACAAGAAAGAGGCUUUUGAGAGUCACUGAGGAAAAAGAAUCAAGAAAGGAAGGGACAUAUAAUGGUGGGAGAUGGUAACAAGAA
This 622-nucleotide unclassified non-coding RNA is filed under the name Hevea brasiliensis (rubber tree). Lineage: Eukaryota; Viridiplantae; Streptophyta; Magnoliopsida; Malpighiales; Euphorbiaceae. The record is from RNAcentral.